UACGUAGGGUGCGAGCGUUAAUCGGAAUUACUGGGCGUAAAGCGUGCGUAGGCGGCCAUGAAAGUAGGGUGUGAAAUCCCACAGCUCAACUGUGGAACUGCGCUCUAAACUACAUGGCUAGAGGGAUAUAGAGGUGAGCGGAAUUGAUGGUGGAGCGGUGAAAUGCGUUGAUAUCAUCAGGAACACCGGAGGCGAAGGCGGCUCACUGGGUAUCUUCUGACGCUGAGGUACGAAAGCUAGGGGAGCGAACGGG
Molecule: ribosomal RNA, 253 nt
Filed under: uncultured bacterium
Lineage: Bacteria
Description: partial 16S ribosomal RNA
Rfam family: Bacterial small subunit ribosomal RNA
Source: RNAcentral